AACUAUGGACUUGUCUGCAUGUGUUUUUCCCCUGUGACCCAGUUUCUGUCUCUCCUCGAUUGUUAAUUAGUUCCCAGGUGUGUCUCCUUAGCUCCCUCGUUACCCUGUCUUUAUAAGCAAUGUCCUUUCAGUUCAGUUUUUGUUGGGUCUACCAGUUCCAUAUGUAAUGAUCUCUUGAGGACCAUACCAGACAGUUCCUGUUAUUUGUUCACAUCACCAGCUAACCGGAUGACAUGCUCUGCACUUUCUAUGACGUGAGCCUGAACGCCGAGUGUAGAGCGUUGUCGUCCGAAGAUGGUCCUCGGGAGGAAUUUGCUGCCAUUGUGGAGUGUACUCUGGUGAGAAACGGGUUGCCUCUUACCAUCUGCCCCAUGGAGGAUCUCGCCGGAUCCGCUCCCGACCCAGAGCCCAGCCUACCAUCUCCCCAUGGUACAGAGCAUACGCUUAAGCCCACUGAUGAUGGAGAGCCAGAGCCCAACCCGUCAGACCAGGUGUGAGAGCCGGCUACAGAGCCCACCACACUGGUCCCGUCCAGUCCUCCUUCAUCCUUGGUUUCCUCUAGCCCUGAGGGGGCCUCCGAUCCUCCAGUGCCUGCUCCUAGAAAGUGUCCUAUAGUGCCUGCUUCUAGAAUAUGUCCUCCAGUCCCUGCUCCUAGAAUUUGCCCUCCAGUGGCCACUCCUCCAAAAUGACCGCCCUCCCACCCGUUCCUGCCUCCUCCAUCGAUGGUGGGCACCUCACCCCGCCAUCUAUGCAGUGCGAGCCCCACGGGAUUGCCAUCCUCCAAGCAUCACCGUGGUUGGAGUCUCCCUCACCUCCGCCUCUAGCCUCAGGCCUGGACUCCGCCUUGGCCCAUAGUCCCAGUGGCUCCACCUCGGCUCCUAGAUCUCUCACCUCCACCGUCAACCAUCGAUCCAUCAGAUCCACCGGGCUCCCUUGUCCCUGGUCAGUCAUCAACCUGCCAUCACUUCUGGACUCCUCCUCUCCACUGGCUGCGCCUAGUCGGUCCAUCCUACCCGCUCCGUUGGGCUCCUUCCUCCCACCAGCUCCACCUUGGUCCUCAGACGCUCUGGCUCCGCUGCGGAUCUCUGGAUCUCCGCCUCCGCUUUAGCCCUUGGCUCCACCCUGGCCCCCCGGAUCCUCGGCAUCCCCCUGGCUCAAUGGCUCUCCAUCUCGGGCUCCUCCUCCACCGCUGUUGGUCGGCCCCCUGGAGUCGGUGGCCAUUCCUCUUCCAUGGAUCCUUCCACCGUCGGCUUCACCUUGGGCUGCUGUUAUGGUUGUGGCCUGGGUCCUGCUGUGCUCCUCCUGUCUCCUCCCUCUGUCGUCUCCGCCCUCCGUGGUCUCUGUCUGCCGGCCCCCUCCUGUGGGUCUGUCCUUCACUAGAGCCUCCUCCCAAGCUCCCACCUGUGCCUCCUCCUGUUGUUGCCUGGGGUGCAAGGACGCACCUUCCAGGAGGGGCCGAAAUGUCAGAACUAGGACUAGGACUUUUCUGUGUGUGUUUUUUCCGUUGUGACCCAGUUUCUCUGUCUCCUUUGAUUGUUGAUUAGUUCCCAGGUGUGUCUCCUUAGUUCCCUUGUUAGCCUGUCUUUUAUAAGCAAUGUCCUUUCAGUUCAGUUUUUGUCAGGUCUACCAGUCAAGUACAUGUGUCUUCUACCUGUUCUCCAUGUUGGAUUUGCCCCUGUGUUGAAUUAAUAAAGACUCUUUCGAUUA
This is a long non-coding RNA of Carassius carassius (crucian carp), 1707 nucleotides long. RefSeq lists it as uncharacterized. The transcript has 2 exons. The record is from RefSeq and is a predicted model, not a curated record. NCBI's taxonomy places the organism in Eukaryota, Metazoa, Chordata, Actinopteri, Cypriniformes, Cyprinidae.